RNAcentral lists this transfer RNA (81 nucleotides) under Echinostoma caproni. It matches the Rfam family "tRNA". From Rfam's summary of the family: Transfer RNA (tRNA) molecules are approximately 80 nucleotides in length. The record is from Rfam by way of RNAcentral. Lineage: Eukaryota; Metazoa; Platyhelminthes; Trematoda; Plagiorchiida; Echinostomatidae.
GCCUCGUUAUUUCAGCUGGUAGAGCGUGCGCGUACAAAGCGUAGGUGGCUUCCAUGCGUGGGUUCGAAUCCCACCGAGGCU